RNAcentral lists this ribosomal RNA (465 nucleotides) under Vreelandella stevensii. RNAcentral's name for it is "partial 16S ribosomal RNA". It matches the Rfam family "Bacterial small subunit ribosomal RNA", at positions 338 to 795 of the family's 1533-position model. Lineage: Bacteria; Pseudomonadati; Pseudomonadota; Gammaproteobacteria; Oceanospirillales; Halomonadaceae. The record is from RNAcentral.
CCUACGGGAGGCUGCAGUGGGGAAUAUUGGACAAUGGGGGGAACCCUGAUCCAGCCAUGCCGCGUGUGUGAAGAAGGCCCUCGGGUUGUAAAGCACUUUCAGUGAGGAAGAACGCCUGGUGGUUAAUACCCAUCAGGAAAGACAUCACUCACAGAAGAAGCACCGGCUAACUCCGUGCCAGCAGCCGCGGUAAUACGGAGGGUGCGAGCGUUAAUCGGAAUUACUGGGCGUAAAGCGCGCGUAGGUGGCUUGAUAAGCCGGUUGUGAAAGUCCCGGGCUCAACCUGGGAACGGCAUCCGGAACUGUCAAGCUAGAGUGCAGGAGAGGAAGGUAGAAUUCCCGGUGUAGCGGUGAAAUGCGUAGAGAUCGGGAGGAAUACCAGUGGCGAAGGCGGCCUUCUGGACUGACACUGACACUGAGGUGCGAAAGCGUGGGUAGCAAACAGGAUUAGAUACCCGAGUAGUC